This 917-nucleotide ribosomal RNA is filed under the name uncultured bacterium. RNAcentral describes it as "bacterial SSU rRNA". It matches the Rfam family "Bacterial small subunit ribosomal RNA", at positions 89 to 1039 of the family's 1533-position model. The record is from RNAcentral.
GGGUUAGUGGCGGACGGGUGAGUAACGCGUGAGAAUCUGCCCUCAGGAGGGGGAUAACGGUUGGAAACGACCGCUAAUACCCCAUAUGCCGAGAGGUGAAAUGAAUUUCGCCUGAGGAUGAGCUCGCGUCUGAUUAGUUAGUUGGUGGGGUAAUGGCCUACCAAGACAUCGAUCAGUAGCUGGUCUGAGAGGAUGAUCAGCCACACUGGGACUGAGACACGGCCCAGACUCCUACGGGAGGCAGCAGUGGGGAAUUUUCCGCAAUGGGCGAAAGCCUGACGGAGCAACGCCGCGUGAGGGAUGAAGGCCUCUGGGUUGUAAACCUCUUUUAUCAAGGAAGAAGAUCUGACGGUACUUGAUGAAUAAGCCACGGCUAAUUCCGUGCCAGCAGCCGCGGUAAUACGGGAGUGGCAAGCGUUAUCCGGAAUUAUUGGGCGUAAAGCGUCCGCAGGCGGUCUGUCAAGUCUGCUGUUAAAGCGUGGAGCUUAACUCCAUUUCGGCAGUGGAAACUGACAGACUAGAGUGUGGUAGGGGCAGAGGGAAUUCCCGGUGUAGCGGUGAAAUGCGUAGAUAUCGGGAAGAACACCAGUGGCGAAGGCGCUCUGCUGGGCCAUAACUGACGCUCAUGGACGAAAGCCAGGGGAGCGAAAGGGAUUAGAUACCCCUGUAGUCCUGGCCGUAAACGAUGAACACUAGGUGUCGGGGGAAUCGACCCCCUCGGUGUCGUAGCCAACGCGUUAAGUGUUCCGCCUGGGGAGUACGCACGCAAGUGUGAAACUCAAAGGAAUUGACGGGGGCCCGCACAAGCGGUGGAGUAUGUGGUUUAAUUCGAUGCAACGCGAAGAACCUUACCAGGGUUUGACAUCCUGCGAAUCUCUUGGAAACGAGAGAGUGCCUUCGGGAACGCAGUGACAGGU